This 974-nucleotide long non-coding RNA is filed under the name Olea europaea subsp. europaea. The record is from RNAcentral. Lineage: Eukaryota; Viridiplantae; Streptophyta; Magnoliopsida; Lamiales; Oleaceae.
GGACCAUGGGCUGGUUGCAGAGAUGAUGGCUGAAUAGGGGAAGAAGAAGAUUUCCAUUUUAUUUAUUUAUUUAUUUAUUUUUUGUUAUGGGGCUUGGGCUGGUGAUUGAACCAUGGGCCUCUUUUUGUGUAAACAAAUAGCCCAUAGAGGAAAUCAAUGAAUGGUUGGUCCAUCAGCAAUGGUAUUUCCUCCAACCCAAACUCCUAAUACCCAACAUUUAAAUCGGCAGCAAAGACACAAAGAUCCAAAACGCAAACCCUUCCUUCCAUUUCCAUAUUUCCAUUCGAAGCAGAAGUAGCAGUCGUGACGCCUGUGAAGUGAGAAGUGCAACUAUGUGAGCGGUGGACCGUGUGCAAACUGGUGCGAUGUCAGGACAAAUCUCCGACGACCGAGGCUGAGCAAGCAGUGUGGGUCUCAAGUAAUUAAUUUUUUUCCUCACUCUUUUUUUUUUUUUAAGAUUUAUGGUUUUGCUUGAAUUUUACUUAUAAUUAAUUAUCAGAUUAAUUGAAUUAUAAUUUUUUUUUAUGAUUGAGUUUUUCAGAUUAUGAGUUUUAUUGGCGUGGAUGAUUGGAUUUGUGCAUUUCCUUUACCAGAUUAUGGGUUUUUGUUUAGUAAUUGAUAUGUGCUGAUGGAUUAUGGAUGGUUGGAUUAAAUCAGUAAUAUUUUUAUUUAGGAUCCCCCAAACUUCUAUUUCUCUAAAACUAGUCUUGUAGUGGAAAAUGAUUGCAGUUUUUGUUGCUCAUUAAAGGCUUUUAAGUGAUUAUUUGAGAUUGUUUUUUUUUUUUUUUUUUGUCUUGAUGUUGUUAGCUUUGUUCCUUAGGUUUAUCUUGCUGUAAAUUGCUUGUGUAGCUUAUCUUAAAUUCUUUUAAUUCGAAUUGCUCUAAGCUUGAUAAGUACUUUUGUUGCAUUAUGUCAUGGUAGAAAAUCAAACAAGUUUUUGAUUGCUUUGUAUCGUAUAUUUAUUUAGCAGUUUG